RNAcentral lists this long non-coding RNA (580 nucleotides) under Mytilus galloprovincialis (Mediterranean mussel). The record is from RNAcentral. Lineage: Eukaryota; Metazoa; Mollusca; Bivalvia; Mytilida; Mytilidae.
CAAUAAUGCAGAAUAUUUUAAUCUUUAAAAACACCAGUGUUUUACUAUGUGGUGACUGGAAUGUUGUAUUAGAUAAAUUUAUGGAUACAUAUAAUAUCAAACAUAAUAGAAACCCUAACUCCCGUAAAAAAAUUGAUGAAAUCAUUGAUGUUUUUGAACUACUUGAUCCUUGGCGUACAUGCUAUCCAGAAGAUAGGAAAUAUACCUGGCGUCAGUCCUCACCAAUAAAACAAAGUCGCCUUGAUUAUUUUUUAAUUUCAGAAGACCUUUUUUCACUUAUGAAGAAUACCAUUAUCAUUCCUGGUUAUAGAACAGACCAUUCGGCAAUUCUUUUCACCUUCUCAGCUUGUUUAGAGAAACGGGGCAAAAGUUAUUGGAAAUUUAACUCUCAGUUACUUAGAGAUGCAGAUUAUAUAAAAAUGGUUAAAUCAUGUAUUAAGGAUACUAUUUUGGAAUACCAUCUGUCAGGUGAUAUGGAAAAUCUUCUUUCUGUUGAGUUGUCAUGUAAUGAUCAAACAUUUUUUGAAAUAUUAAAAAUGAAGAUUAGAUCCUUGUCAAUAAAUUACAGCAUUAAUAAAUC